This is a long non-coding RNA of Carassius carassius (crucian carp), 707 nucleotides long. RefSeq lists it as uncharacterized. The transcript has 5 exons. Lineage: Eukaryota; Metazoa; Chordata; Actinopteri; Cypriniformes; Cyprinidae. The record is from RefSeq and is a predicted model, not a curated record.
CUCAUUACGUGUACCUGUUUUAAUUGCUUGCAUUCAAUUUUAUACAACAUUUAAUGCUACACUCAUGUGUUUAAAAUAUGUUUGUAGGUAUCCAACUACAGAAGAGUAUGUUCAAGUGGCUAAGGCCCUGACUCUGAGGUAUCCCUUUUUAAAAGACAAAGAGGGCAAUGGAUAUCACACUUGGCACAUGUCUCUGAAACGCAAGUUUAAAUUUGAGCAGACACCUUUGGCUGAAGUUGAAGUAGUGAAAAGACUUAAACAGAAAUUUGGUCAUUCAAAAAAGUCUCUGCAACCUGAAGAAAGCAGUUGCAAAGAAAUUACAAGGCCUUUGAUUAAUGCUUUUGGAGAGGAUGCUACAUCAAUAGAGGGACAUGUGAAAGUCCUGCAGGACCAGUAUAGAAGGACACAGCCAGAGACUCACAUUGUUGAAGAUCGAAUGAGGAGGACCUUUGCCUGGAGGCAGCAGGAGAUUACUAGUGCUUUAUCAAGAAAUUGGUUUCCUGUAUAAAUGUGUUCAUCUGAGCCGCCAUUUGCGAGAACAUUUUGGACCCAUUACAUCCAGCGUGCUACGUCUUGCUCAAGGGAAAUCCACUUUAGCAAAGCUGCGUAAAGAAGCUAGAGAAGAAUCUCUCUUUGAAGACCAUCUUGGAAUUGAUUUUAAAGCAGCACUUCUCAUGUUGCCAGCCUUGUUCAGGGAGAAACUUCAA